Molecule: ribosomal RNA, 255 nt
Filed under: uncultured bacterium
Lineage: Bacteria
Description: partial 16S ribosomal RNA
Rfam family: Bacterial small subunit ribosomal RNA
Source: RNAcentral
AACGUAGGAGACAAACGUUAUCCGGAGUUACUGGGCGUAAAGGGCGUGUAGGUGGUUUCGUAAGUCUGGCGUGAAAUUUUUCGGCUUAACCGGGAAAGGUCGUCGGAUACUGCGGAACUAGAGGACGGUAGAGGCGUGUGGAAUUCCGGGAUGUAGUGGUGAAAUGCGUAGAGAUCCGGAGGAACACCGAUGGCGAAGGCAAUCCCCUGGGCCUGCACUGACGCUCAUGCACGAAAGCGUGGGGAGCAAACAGGG